This 862-nucleotide long non-coding RNA is filed under the name Salvator merianae (Argentine black and white tegu). RNAcentral describes it as "lncRNA (ENSSMRG00000022364.1)". The record is from RNAcentral. Lineage: Eukaryota; Metazoa; Chordata; Lepidosauria; Squamata; Teiidae.
GUUUUACAUAUUUUUUUUACAGCCAUGGGAUGCUUUUGACAUCACAGAUUUAUCUGGAAGCCCUGAGAGAAGCCUGAUAGGAACUAUUCUGGGUGUGCUUUUUCUGAGGAGAAAGAGAAAGAAGGAUUUAAUUAGUUGUGAUAGCUACCAUCCNUCCAGCACUGAUAUAUUUACUUCCUGCUACAUUAGCAUCUUUGUUGAUUCCGGAAAAUGGCACCAAGUAGAAGAAAGAAAAGGCUUUCUUUUGCCGUUACUGCAUCAGACAAACGGCAUGGCAGCAGGCAUAUAUUGCUCCACAUCCAGCAAAGGACACAAAUGUUAUCAGAGGAAUAAGCUGGAAGACACAAAGAAAUCAAGAUCAAAAGGAUGCAUUGUUAAAGCAACACACAAAGCAAUUUGCUUUGGAGUUCCCUCCUAUUUCAAAAGAAGAAUUUGAAAGUAUGAGUGAAACCACUGCUUCCAAAAUCAGUCUCUACCAUCUCCAUCUCUUCUUCUUGCUCAACUGAACCACCUUCAAAGAGAAGAUUCAGUCUGUUCCAGGGAUGCUCCCAUUUAUUGCUUAGGCAGGGGAAAGAAUAAGCACUUAAAGAUUCAGUUUGUCUGGCAUGAGCACUUCAACUUGUCGGUGAAACUUACUUCCUUCUUCUUGGACAGCAGCUGGAAGAAUCCCCUAUUUGCCAUGGUAACCUGCAGGUGCAAACCUGGAGAGAAAGAAGAGUUUCAGCCUUCCAAGUAGUAAGUAUCCUGGGUACCACUCAGCAGGACAGAGAUGGUACCACCCCUUGGCUUCCUUGUAUCUCCCCUCCCUCCCAGUUCAAGAAGUCCAGCAACCUGGGUGCUUGGCACUGCACUGAAUUUCAGA